Long non-coding RNA from Pelodiscus sinensis (Chinese soft-shelled turtle), 371 nucleotides. RefSeq lists it as uncharacterized. Lineage: Eukaryota; Metazoa; Chordata; Testudines; Trionychidae. The record is from RefSeq and is a predicted model, not a curated record.
AAGUGUUCCAUUAGCCACACGGAACUAUGUUAUGCUUGGAUCCACCUUCAUUGCCUAGUUUCAUUUCUGCUGAACUGACUGGCAAGAAGCCCAGUGCCUCAUGGUGUCAAAUAUUCUUGUACACCUCUUCGGGCUGGGCUUCCUAGAUGGACUACAUUUCCCAGGAUGAAUCACUUCUUGGUGAAGGGAGUGCUUACUUCUGAGUCCAGUCCAUAAAGAAGAAUAAGGAUGUGAGAUACUCUGGAGCUGAAGAAAUAUGCCGUUCAUUUGCUGCUUCGGCGAGUCCACCAAAACAGAGGAAAGUACAGGGUUAAAUGCAAGUGCUCCCUCACAUUCAGGUGUUCACCUUAAAUAAACUGAUCAGAUUGCUG